AGAGUUUGAUCAUGGCUCAGGGUUGAACGCUAGCCGCAUGCCUAACACAUGCAAGUUGAAUGGAAUACUAUGCUUGGGCAUAACCUAUUCCAUGGCGAACGGGUGAGUAACGCGUGAGAAUCAACCUUCAGGAUGGGGAUAACCUUCGGAAACGAAGAUGAAUACCCAAUAUCCCGAGAGGGAAAAGCUCCGGCACCUGAAGACGAGCUCGCGUCUGAUUAGUUAGUUGGUGAGGUAAUGGCUUACCAAGGCAAUGAUCAGUAGCUGGUUUGAGAGGAUGAGCAGCCACACUGGUACUGAGACACGGACCAGACCGCUACGGCGGGCAGCAGUGAGGAAUAUUCCGCAAUGGGCGAAAGCCUGACGGAGCGAUGCGGCGUGAAGGAUGAAGGUCUACGGAUCGUAAACUUCUUUACCUAGAGAAGAAGAAUGACGGUAUCUAGGCAAAAAGCAUUGGCUAACUUCGUGCCAGCAGCCGCGGUAAGACGAGGAAUGCAAGCGUUAUCCAGAAUUAUUGGGCGUAAAGAGCCUGUAGGUGGCCUUCAAAGUCUUUUGUGAAAGGGUACGGCUCAACCGUACAUGUGCAAUGGAAACUCGGAGGCUUGAGUAUGAGAAGAGUAGAGGGAAUUCUUAGUGGAGCGGUGAAAUGCGUAGAUAUUAAGAGGAACACCAAAGGCGAAAGCACUCUGCUUGCUCAUCACUGACACUCAGAGGCGAAAGCUGGGGGAGUGAAAUGGAUUAGAGACCCAUGUAAU
RNAcentral lists this ribosomal RNA (755 nucleotides) under uncultured bacterium. Its description in RNAcentral is "bacterial SSU rRNA". It matches the Rfam family "Bacterial small subunit ribosomal RNA", at positions 8 to 794 of the family's 1533-position model. The record is from RNAcentral.